This 442-nucleotide ribosomal RNA is filed under the name uncultured Thiobacillus sp. Its description in RNAcentral is "bacterial SSU rRNA". It matches the Rfam family "Bacterial small subunit ribosomal RNA", at positions 936 to 1382 of the family's 1533-position model. The record is from RNAcentral. Lineage: Bacteria; Pseudomonadati; Pseudomonadota; Betaproteobacteria; Nitrosomonadales; Thiobacillaceae.
AUGAUGUGGAUUAAUCGAUGCAACGCGAAAAACCUUACCUACCCUUGACAUGUCUGGAGCCUUGGUGAGAGCCGAGGUGCCUUCGGGAGCCAGAACACAGGUGCUGCAUGGCUGUCGUCAGCUCGUGUCGUGAGAUGUUGGGUUAAGUCCCGCAACGAGCGCAACCCUUGUCACUAGUUGCCAUCAUUUGGUUGGGCACUCUAGUGAGACUGCCGGUGACAAACCGGAGGAAGUGGGGAUGACGUCAAGUCCUCAUGGCCCUUAUGGGUAGGGCUUCACACGUCAUACAAUGGUCGGUACAGAGGGUUGCCAAGCCGCGAGGCGGAGCCAAUCCCACAAAGCCGAUCGUAGUCCGGAUUGUUCUCUGCAACUCGAGAGCAUGAAGUCGGAAUCGCUAGUAAUCGCAGGUCAGCAUACUGCGGUGAAUACGUUCCCGGGUCUU